Molecule: ribosomal RNA, 363 nt
Filed under: Nemausa spinipes
Lineage: Eukaryota; Metazoa; Arthropoda; Malacostraca; Decapoda; Mithracidae
Description: partial 12S ribosomal RNA
Source: RNAcentral
UACUAUACUAAGAUGAUAGAAAAACUAGAAUAUUAAAAGAUAUAGUCUUAAAAUUCAAAGAAUUUGGCGGUAAUUUAGUCUUUUCAGAGGAACCUGUUUUUUAAUCGAUAAACCACGAAGAAUCUUACUUGCUUUUGUAAAUUAUAAGUUUGUAUACCGUCAUUAUCAGAUAAUAUUUAGAGAUAUAAUUAUUGUAUAUUUAAAUAAUAAGAAAAAUUAGAUCAAGGUGCAGCUAAUAAGUAAGUUAAAAUGGGUUACAAUUAAUUAUUGUUAAUAAUGGAUAAAGACUUGAAAAAGUCUUUGGAAGGAGGAUUUGAUUGUAAUUAAAAUUAGUAUGAUUAAAAGAUAUAAGCUCUAAAUUAU